GUGGCGGACGGGUGAGGAAUACAUCGGAAUCUGCCUAUUUGUGGGGGAUAACGUAGGGAAACUUACGCUAAUACCGCAUACGACCUACGGGUGAAAGCCGGGGACCUUCGGGCCUGGCGCAGAUAGAUGAGCCGAUGUCGGAUUAGCUAGUUGGCGGGGUAAAGGCCCACCAAGGCGACGAUCCGUAGCUGGUCUGAGAGGAUGAUCAGCCACACUGGAACUGAGACACGGUCCAGACUCCUACGGGAGGCAGCAGUGGGGAAUAUUGGACAAUGGGCGCAAGCCUGAUCCAGCCAUGCCGCGUGGGUGAAGAAGGCCUUCGGGUUGUAAAGCCCUUUUGUUGGGAAAGAAAAGCAGUCGGUUAAUACCCGAUUGUUCUGACGGUACCCAAAGAAUAAGCACCGGCUAACUUCGUGCCAGCAGCCGCGGUAAUAC
Molecule: ribosomal RNA, 435 nt
Filed under: Lysobacter sp. G13D029
Lineage: Bacteria; Pseudomonadati; Pseudomonadota; Gammaproteobacteria; Lysobacterales; Lysobacteraceae
Description: bacterial SSU rRNA
Rfam family: Bacterial small subunit ribosomal RNA
Source: RNAcentral